GAUGAACGCUGGCGGCGUGCCUAAUACAUGCAAGUCGAGCGAACGGACGAGAAGCUUGCUUCUCUGAUGUUAGCGGCGGACGGGUGAGUAACACGUGGAUAACCUACCUAUAAGACUGGGAUAACUUCGGGAAACCGGAGCUAAUACCGGAUGAUAUUUUGAACCGCAUGGUUCAAAAGUGAAAGACGGUCUUGCUGUCACUUAUAGAUGGAUCCGCGCUGCAUUAGCUAGUUGGUAAGGUAACGGCUUACCAAGGCAACGAUGCAUAGCCGACAUGAGAGGGUGAUCGGCCACACUGGAACUGAGACACGGUCCAGAGUCCUACGGGAGGCAGCAGUAGGGAAUCUUCCGCAAUGGGCGAAAGCCUGACGGAGCAACGCCGCGUGAGUGAUGAAGGUCUUCGGAUCGUAAAACUCUGUUAUUAGGGAAGAACAUAUGUGUAAGUAACUGUGCACAUCUUGACGGUACCUAAUCAGAAAGCCACGGCUAACUACGUG
RNAcentral lists this ribosomal RNA (497 nucleotides) under uncultured bacterium. RNAcentral's name for it is "partial 16S ribosomal RNA". It matches the Rfam family "Bacterial small subunit ribosomal RNA", at positions 28 to 507 of the family's 1533-position model. The record is from RNAcentral.